RNAcentral lists this ribosomal RNA (279 nucleotides) under uncultured bacterium. RNAcentral describes it as "partial 16S ribosomal RNA". It matches the Rfam family "Bacterial small subunit ribosomal RNA", at positions 506 to 784 of the family's 1533-position model. The record is from RNAcentral.
UGCCAGCCGCCGCGGUAAUACGGAGGGUCCGAGCGUUGUUCGGAAUCACUGGGCGUAAAGCGCGUGUAGGCGGCCGGGAAAGUCGGAUGUGAAAGCCCGAGGCUCAACCUCGGAACUGCCCUUGAUACUGGUAGUCUUGAGUUCGAGAGAGGUGAGUGGAAUUCCGAGUGUAGAGGUGAAAUUCGUAGAUAUUCGGAGGAACACCAGUGGCGAAGGCGGCUCACUGGCUCGAUACUGACGCUGAGGUGCGAAAGCGUGGGGAGCAAACAGGAUUAGAUA